Myodes glareolus (Bank vole) is the source of this 1312-nucleotide non-coding RNA. NCBI's taxonomy places the organism in Eukaryota, Metazoa, Chordata, Mammalia, Rodentia, Cricetidae. The record is from RefSeq and is a predicted model, not a curated record.
CCUUGUCCACUGCAGGCCGGUGUCAGGAACUCGGGGUCCCUGGGUGCCAAACAGAUCUCCAGUUGUGAAUGGAGCGCAGGACAUCCAGGAGGGCAAGAAAGUGUACCUACUGCUCUCAUCUCGCGCCCGGACUCGUCCUUCUCUGGGCCAGCUGGGCAUACUUGGGCCAAGUCUUUUGAACCCCCGGCCUUAGCACCUCUGUGGAAGUUCCAUCAGUGGCAAACUGUGCCCGCUGCAUGUUCACAAGUGCAUACCGCGCGCCGGUCCAGCCGGAGCCAGGGACUCUCUCAAGGGGGCGAUCCGGCCUUCGUGUUUUGGCGCUCCCCAUGUGGAAAAUGGCCACCCUUGGGCGCUCAGAGAGGCGUCUGAGAGCGGGCAGCCAUAUGUGGGUCUCUCCUGCCAGACCAGGGGGCGGAGAAGGAAAGCUGGUUCCCAGCCAGGACUCGCUCCUGCUUGGACUCCUGUCUGAAAAAGUCCACAAUGGCUGCCCGACAGAGACUGCCUAGUAGCUCAGGUUCCCACGCUCCCGAGGAUUAUCCCGACUCACUCCAAGUGCCAGCCUUCUGGGAAACCAAGUGGGUAAUUGAUGGAAGGCGAAUGGAUUGGUGUUUGCAAAGUCCAAGUCCAGAGGAUGUCUAGAAGGUAAAUUUGGUAGCACCAAGACUGGCUUAGCAACAGGUCCAUCUGCCUCUGGGGUUACUCUCGGACAUUCAACUCAAUAGCCCUCUGUUUUUAAAUCCUGUCAGGAUCGCCUUUCCUUCUUGCACUCCUGGAGGUCGUUGGAAUCUCAGGGACCUCUCUGGAACCAAGACUGCCCUUCUUAUGCACACCUAAUGUGUAGCUCAGCAAUUUCAUAGAACCCCCACGCCAUGCUUGGCCCCGCCCCCAAAUGGCAAGGAUUGUUUGGUUGGGUGGGUAAGAGGACAAGCAGUGUCAAGGAGGAAGAUGGGACAUUUUUGGCGCUGGUGGUGAGCUGAAGGCAGAGGAAAAGAUCAAGACCUAAGCCAUCAGAUACCUGAAUGUCUUGCUCCUGCAUGCGAAAGCCCGACUUGCAAUUCGCUGCCCACCUCACUGUUUUCUGUGUCAUUUUCAUUGAUUGCGAGUCUGGUCUCUGGGAUGUUAAUCGCCCCGCGAUAGGAAAGGUAAGGUGGGACUCUGUGUAGGCUGCAGAUACAGUCCUGGGGUCAUGGGGUGUGUCCCAUGCAUAGUGUCAGCCGGUGGAGAUACCCCCAUCUUUACCUCCACCCCCACUCCGUGGAGGAGAAAACUUGUGGUCAGCAGCGAGCAGCUGAUGGCCACAAUGGGAAGCUAA